GCCUGACUGUAAACUCUAGCCAAAAAAGUACAAGCCCACGCUUCAAACUUUAAGGACCUGGCGGUACUCUAUAUCAACCUAGAGGGGCCUGCCCAAUAACCGAUAAUCCACGAAAAACCUUACCAUCUCUAGCCUUCAGCCUAUAUACCGCCGUCUUCAGCACAUUUCACAAAAAAUGAAGCCCAACAGUUCCAACACUAGCACGUCAGGUCAAGGUGUAGCCAAUGAGAUGGAAAAGCGCGGACCACAUUAAGAUAACACACAGAAACCCUGCUGAAACACAGGGUAAAAGACGAAUUUAGCAGUAAGCGGACUCGAAUACCCCCCUGAACUAAGACACGCCCUAGAGUACGC
RNAcentral lists this ribosomal RNA (354 nucleotides) under Draco maximus. RNAcentral's name for it is "12S ribosomal RNA". Lineage: Eukaryota; Metazoa; Chordata; Lepidosauria; Squamata; Agamidae. The record is from RNAcentral.